AAGUCGUAACAAGGUUUCCGUAGGUGAACCUGCGGAAGGAUCAUUACCGAAUGACGUGCGUCCUGGUUGUGGUAGACCAUUUCCUCCGAUUGGAUUUGGUCAGAUGUCGGACCAGCCAGGAUUUGGUCUACCAUGCCUUUCAUUCACCAAACAAACCUGUCGUUGCAUGUGUGGCAUUAAAGUAUAUAUAAAUAUAACUUUCAACAACGGAUCUCUUGGCUCUC
Molecule: unclassified non-coding RNA, 224 nt
Filed under: fungal sp.
Lineage: Eukaryota; Fungi
Also listed under: 1 other name
Description: partial internal transcribed spacer region
Rfam family: Eukaryotic small subunit ribosomal RNA (bases 1-46)
Source: RNAcentral